UUAUUAUGCAUUCUUUGGUGAUUUAUAAAUUUCUUAUCUAAAAUACUACUAUUAUAAUUCUUUUAGUAGGAAUAAAAUCUGUUUAGGAACUGCAAACUAUUUAUCGGUUAAAAUUGCUGUUAAGUGUCAUUAGACUUUUAAGGAGAAACACUGUUAGCUUUAGUAAAAAUGCUUUAAACACUUCGGUGUGAAGUUAUUUUCACAGAGUCCACCAAUAUGCAAACAAUAGAGCAACUAUAUUAGUUCACUCAAUGUUCUACACAUGGAAUUCUGGGUCUGUAAUUAACCAUUUUGAGUAACACUCAUAAACUAUACAGUGUGCAGUAAACAUGUCUGCAAAGUAAAUGAAAGAACCCCUAUACUAUAUAGCCUAGGGACUUGAUUUAAAAUCUUUAGAAACAGAGGAUUGUUUUAAUUCUGUAAGUGAGAAAGGAGAAAGUCAUAUCCUUUAACGAAACAAACA
Molecule: long non-coding RNA, 463 nt
Filed under: Bos taurus (domestic cattle)
Lineage: Eukaryota; Metazoa; Chordata; Mammalia; Artiodactyla; Bovidae
Description: long non-coding RNA NONBTAT008363
Source: RNAcentral